RNAcentral lists this ribosomal RNA (2908 nucleotides) under Bacillus anthracis str. Ames. RNAcentral's name for it is "bacterial LSU rRNA". It matches the Rfam family "Bacterial large subunit ribosomal RNA". The record is from RNAcentral. Lineage: Bacteria; Bacillati; Bacillota; Bacilli; Caryophanales; Bacillaceae.
GGGCGCACGGUGGAUGCCUUGACACUAGGAGUCGAUGAAGGACGGGACUAACGCCGAUAUGCUUCGGGGAGCUGUAAGUAAGCUUUGAUCCGAAGAUUUCCGAAUGGGGAAACCCACCAUACGUAAUGGUAUGGUAUCCUUAUCUGAAUACAUAGGGUAAGGAAGACAGACCCAGGGAACUGAAACAUCUAAGUACCUGGAGGAAGAGAAAGCAAAUGCGAUUUCCUGAGUAGCGGCGAGCGAAACGGAACAUAGCCCAAACCAAGAGGCUUGCCUCUUGGGGUUGUAGGACAUUCUAUACGGAGUUACAAAGGAACGAGGUAGACGAAGCGACCUGGAAAGGUCCGUCGUAGAGGGUAACAACCCCGUAGUCGAAACUUCGUUCUCUCUUGAAUGUAUCCUGAGUACGGCGGAACACGUGAAAUUCCGUCGGAAUCUGGGAGGACCAUCUCCCAAGGCUAAAUACUCCCUAGUGAUCGAUAGUGAACCAGUACCGUGAGGGAAAGGUGAAAAGCACCCCGGAAGGGGAGUGAAAGAGAUCCUGAAACCGUGUGCCUACAAAUAGUCAGAGCCCGUUAACGGGUGAUGGCGUGCCUUUUGUAGAAUGAACCGGCGAGUUACGAUCCCGUGCGAGGUUAAGCUGAAGAGGCGGAGCCGCAGCGAAAGCGAGUCUGAAUAGGGCGUUUAGUACGUGGUCGUAGACCCGAAACCAGGUGAUCUACCCAUGUCCAGGGUGAAGUUCAGGUAACACUGAAUGGAGGCCCGAACCCACGCACGUUGAAAAGUGCGGGGAUGAGGUGUGGGUAGCGGAGAAAUUCCAAUCGAACCUGGAGAUAGCUGGUUCUCCCCGAAAUAGCUUUAGGGCUAGCCUUAAGUGUAAGAGUCUUGGAGGUAGAGCACUGAUUGGACUAGGGGUCCUCAUCGGAUUACCGAAUUCAGUCAAACUCCGAAUGCCAAUGACUUAUCCUUAGGAGUCAGACUGCGAGUGAUAAGAUCCGUAGUCAAAAGGGAAACAGCCCAGACCGCCAGCUAAGGUCCCAAAGUGUGUAUUAAGUGGAAAAGGAUGUGGAGUUGCUUAGACAACUAGGAUGUUGGCUUAGAAGCAGCCACCAUUUAAAGAGUGCGUAAUAGCUCACUAGUCGAGUGACUCUGCGCCGAAAAUGUACCGGGGCUAAAUACACCACCGAAGCUGCGGAUUGAUACCAAUGGUAUCAGUGGUAGGGGAGCGUUCUAAGGACAGUGAAGUCAGACCGGAAGGACUGGUGGAGUGCUUAGAAGUGAGAAUGCCGGUAUGAGUAGCGAAAGACGGGUGAGAAUCCCGUCCACCGAAUGCCUAAGGUUUCCUGAGGAAGGCUCGUCCGCUCAGGGUUAGUCAGGACCUAAGCCGAGGCCGACAGGCGUAGGCGAUGGACAACAGGUUGAUAUUCCUGUACCACCUCUUUAUCGUUUGAGCAAUGGAGGGACGCAGAAGGAUAGAAGAAGCGUGCGAUUGGUUGUGCACGUCCAAGCAGUUAGGCUGAUAAGUAGGCAAAUCCGCUUAUCGUGAAGGCUGAGCUGUGAUGGGGAAGCUCCUUAUGGAGCGAAGUCUUUGAUUCCCCGCUGCCAAGAAAAGCUUCUAGCGAGAUAAAAGGUGCCUGUACCGCAACCCGACACAGGUAGGCGAGGAGAGAAUCCUAAGGUGUGCGAGAGAACUCUGGUUAAGGAACUCGGCAAAAUGACCCCGUAACUUCGGGAGAAGGGGUGCUUUCUUAACGGAAAGCCGCAGUGAAUAGGCCCAAGCGACUGUUUAGCAAAAACACAGCUCUCUGCGAAGCCGUAAGGCGAAGUAUAGGGGGUGACACCUGCCCGGUGCUGGAAGGUUAAGGAGAGGGGUUAGCGUAAGCGAAGCUCUGAACUGAAGCCCCAGUAAACGGCGGCCGUAACUAUAACGGUCCUAAGGUAGCGAAAUUCCUUGUCGGGUAAGUUCCGACCCGCACGAAAGGUGUAACGAUUUGGGCACUGUCUCAACCAGAGACUCGGUGAAAUUAUAGUACCUGUGAAGAUGCAGGUUACCCGCGACAGGACGGAAAGACCCCGUGGAGCUUUACUGUAGCCUGAUAUUGAAUUUUGGUACAGUUUGUACAGGAUAGGCGGGAGCCUUUGAAACCGGAGCGCUAGCUUCGGUGGAGGCGCUGGUGGGAUACCGCCCUGACUGUAUUGAAAUUCUAACCUACGGGUCUUAUCGACCCGGGAGACAGUGUCAGGUGGGCAGUUUGACUGGGGCGGUCGCCUCCUAAAGUGUAACGGAGGCGCCCAAAGGUUCCCUCAGAAUGGUUGGAAAUCAUUCGUAGAGUGCAAAGGCAUAAGGGAGCUUGACUGCGAGACCUACAAGUCGAGCAGGGACGAAAGUCGGGCUUAGUGAUCCGGUGGUUCCGCAUGGAAGGGCCAUCGCUCAACGGAUAAAAGCUACCCCGGGGAUAACAGGCUUAUCUCCCCCAAGAGUCCACAUCGACGGGGAGGUUUGGCACCUCGAUGUCGGCUCAUCGCAUCCUGGGGCUGUAGUCGGUCCCAAGGGUUGGGCUGUUCGCCCAUUAAAGCGGUACGCGAGCUGGGUUCAGAACGUCGUGAGACAGUUCGGUCCCUAUCCGUCGUGGGCGUAGGAAAUUUGAGAGGAGCUGUCCUUAGUACGAGAGGACCGGGAUGGACGCACCGCUGGUGUACCAGUUGUUCUGCCAAGGGCAUAGCUGGGUAGCUAUGUGCGGAAGGGAUAAGUGCUGAAAGCAUCUAAGCAUGAAGCCCCCCUCAAGAUGAGAUUUCCCAUAGCGUAAGCUAGUAAGAUCCCUGAAAGAUGAUCAGGUUGAUAGGUUCGAGGUGGAAGCAUGGUGACAUGUGGAGCUGACGAAUACUAAUAGAUCGAGGACUUAACCAU